Molecule: non-coding RNA, 31 nt
Filed under: Mus musculus (house mouse)
Lineage: Eukaryota; Metazoa; Chordata; Mammalia; Rodentia; Muridae
Source: RNAcentral
UGGGUCACAUGUCAAUGCAAGUUGGAUGGGU